CUCCUGUGGUGCCAUGUGCCGGAAUUGUUUGUUGAAUGAAUGUGUCUUCUUGAAGGCCUGUGUUGGGAACCUUAUGGAUUAGCAUUAGCGUCAAGGCUGUAUCACAUCCGGCUGUGAUUGGGAGUUCCAUAGGGCGGUGCACAAUUGGCCCAGCGUCGUACAGCAUAGGAGGCUCUUGUUCAAUCGCAAAAAGG
Oncorhynchus mykiss (rainbow trout) is the source of this 194-nucleotide non-coding RNA. The record is from RefSeq and is a predicted model, not a curated record. NCBI's taxonomy places the organism in Eukaryota, Metazoa, Chordata, Actinopteri, Salmoniformes, Salmonidae.